GAGUAGUAAACAUGGCGGUGGGGGCGCUGCGCUCUCCUCCGGGGUGAAGCUCGCUGCGGUCCCUGCUCCUCAGUGCGGCGGCGAUGUCGGAGCCGGGGCACCUGGGGGUGAAGCGGGCCGAGUCGGCGCGGCUGCGGCGGGCCGAGCAGCUGCGGCGCUGGAAGGGUUCGCUGACCGAGCUGGAGCCGGUGGCGCCGGUGGGCGCCCGGGGCCGGCACCGCGGCGGGGGGGUCCCCCGCGUCCGCUUCGAAGAGGGCGCCGUGUUCCUGGCCGCCUGCUCCAGCGGGGACGCCGAGGAGGUGAAGCGCCUGCUGGCCCGCGGCGCCCGCAUCAACACGGCCAACGUGGACGGGCUGACAGCGCUGCACCAGGCCUGUAUAGACGAGAACCUGGACAUGGUGAAGUUCCUGGUAGAAAAUGGAGCCAGUGUAAACCAGCAGGAUAAUGAGGGCUGGACCCCCCUUCAUGCUGUGGCAUCCUGUGGCUAUCUGAACAUAGCAGAAUACUUGCUCAGCCAUGGAGCCAACGUGGCUGCUGUGAACAGUGAAGGUGAAGUCCCAUCUGACCUUGCAGAGGAAGCAGCCAUGAAGGACCUGCUUCUGGAACAAGUAAAGAAACAAGGGGUGGACCUGGACUUGGCAAGGAAAGAGGAAGAGCAACAGAUGCUGCAGGAUGCACGGCAGUGGCUGAACAGUGGGAAGCUUGAGGAUAUAAAGCAACCUCGGUCAGGUGCUACUGCUCUGCAUGUAGCUGCAGCCAAGGGCUACUCUGAAGUCAUGAGGCUCUUGAUCCAAGCUGGGUUUAAUUUGAAUGUCCAGGACAACGAUGGCUGGACUCCACUCCAUGCUGCUGCUCACUGGGGAGUGAAAGAAGCUUGCACUAUCUUGGCUGAAGCGCUCUGUGACAUGGACAUCAGGAACAAGCUGGGCCAGACACCAUUUGAUGUGGCUGAUGAGGGACUGGUUGAGCACUUGGAGAUGCUGCAGAAAAAACAGAAUGUGCUGCGCAGUGAGAAGGAGACGAGAAACAAGCUAAUUGAAGCUGACAUGAAUGGGAAACUGCAAAGUGGACUCUUCAAAAACAAAGAGAAGAUUCUUUAUGAAGAAGAUACUCUGAAGUCCCGGGAACCAGAAGAGGAGAACAAGGAAUCGAGCAGUUCCAGCUCUGAGGAAGAGGAGGAAGCCGAAGAGGAUGAGGCUUCAGAAUCAGAUGCUGAAAAGGAGGCAGAGAGAAAGAAAGAGUCCUUUGCCAACCAUUCUGGUCAUGAACCCAGGACUAGCGUCACUGAGCAAAUACCACCACCAGAGCAUAACUCCUUCACUGCAGCUCCUGCCAGAAAAUUCACCAGUUUGCUCAACAAAUCAGAGGAGCAAAAGGAUGAAUCUCCCUCAUCUUGGAGGCUUGGUCUACGGAAAACUGGCAGCCACAAUAUGCUAAGCGAAGCUGCUUCCCGGGAGGCACUGAAAGAGAGAGGUUCCUCCAUCUACCGCUCUUCAUCGAGUCCCCGGAUUUCUGCAUUCUUAGACAACAAAGAAAAGGAUAAAGAUAGCAAAAACUACUUUGCCCCCAUAGCCCCUAGAAGACUAAGCAGUACGGGUGACAUAGAAGAAAAGGAAAACAGAGAAUCUGCUGUUAACCUGGUGAGGAGUGGCUCCUACAACCGGCAGCCAUGGAGGGAUGAGCCAAAGGGAAACGAAGCCCCCCAGACUGGUGCACCUUCCACCUACGUAUCUACCUACCUGAAAAGUGCUUCAUUUGGUAGAAGUAGUGACCUCAACAGUCCCUACAUUUCAGCCAAUCGUAAUACAUCUGCUACCUCACCCACUACCAUUGGUUCAUCUACCUCAUUGGGCACCCAGUGGCAACCUGCCUCUUCCUGUCCUACAUCUCUUAGUGCGAACACUACUGCAUCAAUCCGCCAGUAUACCAGAGCCCCAUACCGGCAACAAACUGACUCUACUGUAGAGAAAAAUACAGAGAACAUCUCUGCUAGCACUCCACUAGGUGUAAUCACAAAUCGCACUGUACUCAGCACUGCCAACGGUGUUACAUCUGCCAGUGCCACGUCAACUACUGGAACGGACUCCUCAAAUGGAGAAGCCAGGGAGCGAAGAAGGUCGUAUCUGACUCCUGUGCGAGAUGAGGAAGCAGAGUCACUAAGGAAGGCCCGAUCCAGACAGGCCCGCCAGACUCGUAGGUCUACACAGGGUGUAACACUCACAGACCUUCAGGAGGCAGAACGAACUUUCAGCCGGUCUCGAGUGGAGCGGCAAGCUCAGGAACAACAAAGUGAGAAACCUGAGAGCACUGAGGACAGCAGUGAGAGACGGGAGGAGACCCGGCCCUGGUGGAAUAGAAACCAGGAUGAGGAGUCUGUCUAUCGGCGAUUAAGGUGUCCAACACAAACAGACAAACCCACCACACCAGUAUCUCCCUCUACGUCAGCCCCUUCUCUUUACACAAGUUCUCACCUGGCCCAGACAAGCAGAUCUCUGGGCCCUGACUCUGUGAACCCAGCAGACUUCCAAAGCACAGCCACUGAAAUGGAGAAAAAUGAGUGUGAAGAUCAGGAUUUAGAUGAUAGAUCUCCAAACAAGCAGUCAAUCCGAGAGAGGCGGCGGCCAAAGGAGAGGCGAAGAGGCACUGGAAUUUCUUUCUGGGCAAAAGAUGAUGACGAGGUUGAUGGGAAUGAUGAAGUGAAGGAGUCUCGGCAUGAAAGACUUUCCAGGCUGGAAUCAGCAGGUACAAGCCCUACCACCAGCGACUCGCACAGCGAUCGCGCCUCCAGCCGCUCCAGCGCUUACACCAGAAGAGAGAACCGCCUGGCUUCCCUCAGCAGUAGAACAGAGGAGGAGACUAACAGGGACUAUAAAAAACUCUAUGAGGACGCGCUUUCCGAAAACCAAAAGCUGAAAUCAAAACUGCAGGAAGCCCAGCUGGAGCUGGCUGAUAUCAAGUCAAAACUGGAAAAAGCAGCCCAGCAGAAACAGGAAAAAACCUCUGACCGAUCGAGUAUGCUGGAAAUGGAGAAAAGGGGGAAACGAGCCCUCGAGCGGAGACUUUCUGAAAUGGAGGAGGAGAUGAAGGUUUUGACAGAGCUGAAGUCAGACAAUCAGAGGCUGAAAGAUGAAAAUGGAGCACUCAUCCGUGUCAUCAGCAAACUCUCCAAGUAGGACGUCGGAGGGAAGGAAGAAAGGAGGGGGCUUCUGUGCACAAGCUGCCAACCCUGCCACCCAGCCCCCAACCGCCUCUUGCCCUCCAAUCAAAAGUACAGCAAGCCUUUCAGCCGUGGGAACAAUGCGCCUCGCACUCCCCUGUCCCGUCCCCUCAUUGUACAUUCCCUUAGCACCCCUCUGAAUGCACCCCUCAGCCAUUUUAUUAUUUUAAUUUAAGCAUGUCGUGGUAUCUUGGACAUUUUAUUCAAGGGGAAAAGAAACAUGAGAACUGGGUUUGAGCUGCCAAAACUUCCUGCCACAAACCCAGCCUUGUCCACAUUGGACUCCAGUCUGGAGCAGAGAAGCUUCUACUGUAAUAAGCAAUACAGAAAUGACUCUGUCAAAGUGAUCCGACGGGUCCAGAACCUUUGUAGCUGGAGCUGGGGGGACAUGAGCGGGAGCUGUACACUGAGGAUGUACGUCAGCUGCCCACUUGGCGUUGGGGGUCCGGUUACAAUGUGAUGCUGUGAAAGCCACGAGGACUCGUUUCUGUGUCAGACUGUGACGACAGCUGCUUUGCACGGAGGCUCUGUUCUCCUAUCGUCCCAGUAGCUGACUCUCUAUUUAAUGUACGAUUUUAAAUGUUUGCUAUCUUCAUUUCUGAAUCCCAGUUUCAGACCCUCCCUCCCCCCUUUUGCCCAUGCUUUGUUUCUGCAGCCCAGGCGAUCGUGGGUCACUCUGUACUCCUUCCACAGUUGCUAUCUCAGUUACUAUCCAGGUAAUAGCAUCUGCUAAUUGCAUCUGGGCUCUUUCCUCUUGUAAUAAGAUUCAUCACUGAUAUUGGCUGGGGUCUCUGAUGAAGGAGAAACUGAAGCAGCAGAGGUCACCUGCUGCUCUCGUAUGCACAUGUAACAAAUCUGGGUGUGAAUAUCCAUGCAGGGAGGUACGCAUGCACAAGUAACCAACCCCCAUCUUCUUCCAGUAGCAACAGGACGAGCAUUUGUCUGUUAGUGUUACUUGCAGGAUAGCACCCUGCAAAGUACUCGGAGCAGAUGUCUGGUGUGCUUGUUUUAAUUUCCAACAAGAGCAAAAACAAAUGAAAAUACAGGUGUAUUUUGAGUUGGCUUUAUAGGGGGUGAGGGUGGAGAGGCCGUAUUUGGCUACAAAAAGGAUAGUCCAGCCUUUGAUGGCAAAUCCUGACACAGCUAAUACAGCAAGAUUGAGAAACCUUAAGCAGUGAUCAGUUGCCAGCUCCAUUUCAUUAGAGG
Gopherus flavomarginatus (Mexican gopher tortoise) is the source of this 4423-nucleotide RNA transcript. It is a transcript of the gene named protein phosphatase 1 regulatory subunit 12B, with no coding region annotated. The transcript has 26 exons. Lineage: Eukaryota; Metazoa; Chordata; Testudines; Testudinidae. The record is from RefSeq and is a predicted model, not a curated record.